UCGGCUUAGAGUUUGAUCAUGGCUCAGGACGAACGCUGGCGGCGUGCUUAACACAUGCAAGUCGAACGGGAGCCUUCGGGUUCUAGUGGCGGACGGGUGAGUAACGCGUGAGUAACCUGCCUUCAAGAGGGGAAUAACAGCGAGAAAUCGUUGCUAAUACCGCAUAAGACCACAAUCGCAUGAUCAGGGGUCAAAGAUUUAUCGCUUGAAGAUGGACUCGCGUCCCAUUAGCUAGUUGGUAGGGUAACGGCUUACCAAGGCAACGAUGGGUAGCCGAGCUGAGAGGCUGAUCGGCCACACUGGGACUGAGACACGGCCCAGACUCCUACGGGAGGCAGCAGUGGGGAAUAUUGGGCAAUGGGCGCAAGCCUGACCCAGCAACGCCGCGUGAAGGAAGAAUGUUUUCGGAUUGUAAACUUCUGUCCUCUGGGAAGAAAAAAAUGACGGUACCAGAGGAGGAAGCCCCGGCUAACUACGUGCCAGCAGCCGCGGUAAUACGUAGGGGCUAGCGUUGUCCGGAAUUACUGGGCGUAAAGGGAGCGUAGCGGUUUGUUAAGUCGGAUGUGAAAUACCCGGGCUCAACCUGGGGGUGCAUCCGAAACUGCGAACUUGAGU
RNAcentral lists this ribosomal RNA (615 nucleotides) under uncultured Clostridia bacterium. Its description in RNAcentral is "bacterial SSU rRNA". It matches the Rfam family "Bacterial small subunit ribosomal RNA", at positions 1 to 647 of the family's 1533-position model. The record is from RNAcentral. Lineage: Bacteria; Bacillati; Bacillota; Clostridia.